UCUGUGCUUAUCGUGAGAGCUGAGGUAUCAUGGACUGCUGCUAACUUUAUGGCUUUUUUUGCCUCCAGAGUUCAUGUUGUGACUGACAGCCUUCCUCUAUGGACUGAGUAGCUCACUUGCUAUGUUUGCUAUCUAAUCCCUUUUAGAUAUACCUUUUGUGACAGCACUUUGUAAAGAGUCUACAUUAAUAUUCUCAUGGGGUGUAUAGAAGAGCACUGAAGAGACCGCCUCUGGGAGGAUAUAGGGACCCUAUCCAAGGUCAUGUCUGGAUUCCACAAUAUACUGCAAGUCAGUGUAAUGGUAGCUUAUUUAUCUUUUUUGAUAUAAACAUUAUUUCUCCCAAAAGACCAUCCUGGUACCACUCUGCACUUCUGAGACAUUUUAACAGUUGGCAGGAUUUCAUUUCUAAACCUUUUGACUUUCCUUUCCUGGCAGACAGUAGGCUUUCUAUUGAAGACUCCUCAUUAAGGCCAUAGAGGUUCUGAAUCUCAGAAAAAAUAAAUGUUUCUUCUUUGAGUCUACAACUGAGUGAAUGGGACAACACUCAGGCAACAGCAAACUGAGUGCAUUCAUAAUUCAACUUCUUAAGAUAAGCCUUUCUUCCCUGGACUGACUUCUGUUCACUGUGCAUGGGAACUGUUGGGUUCUGCCUCCCAGGUGCCCCGGUACCGUGCAGGCUGGCAGAUCAGCUGCUCCGACACGCAGUGGGACCCAGCUCUGUACAGCACCACCAAGUUGUGUGUUCACUGAAAACUGGAUACAAUCUGAGCAGGUCUAAAGCUAGAGGUAAUGGACCUUUUAAAGCCAUUGCCUUUCAAGCAAUAAAAAUAAUAAAAGUCCACAUAACUGCCAAGAUGACAUCAUGAACAAGGAAGCAUACAGAUGGGUUUAAAUGAAUGCAUUCAACAGGAGGAACUAUGUUUUCUUAUGAUCAAGAUUUAGUGAGCAAAUUAUAGAAAAGCAUAAGAAUAAACAGUUAUGCCACUCUGGGAUUGUUAAGCAUUCUAAGUGGCUGGUUAGGUACGAAACGCUACAUUUUUUUGCAGACUAUUAUUAAACAAAUAUUUUCUACAUAUAAUAAAGAACUUAGGUAGCCUCAACCCCAGGUUUCCUGGACUCAUCAAUAUCUCCUGUCAGAACUGUGCUACAUUAUUAAUGAUUUUAUUAUGCAAGGGUUAAUAUGCCUGUCCAUCUGCGAAACUUGUGAUGAAUUUUCAGUAAUUCCUCUAUUACUUACCAAAGUAUCACAUUUUAUUCAUGAGUCCUAAGUGUUCGGUUUGAACUUCUUCAAAUAUUUUUGGGAAGUUAAUCUAAUUGUAUCAAUAUCUGAGGAUUGUUACUAACUGUUUUCUGAUGUAGUUGACAAAAAUUGAUUUAAUGUUCUGAGUUGUUCUCUGGAAGAAAAAAACAGGAACGGAAUAUUUUAAUAAUUCAUAUUAACAAAUCUCAGUUGUACUAUGAAGUAAUAUAUGAUGAAUAUUGAUAGAUGUUCUGUUUAUUUUUUUGGAUGAUGUCACUGGCUGCAAAUGAAUGUGUCCGACUCCUAUAGCUGUUACAGACAGCAGGGGUAGUGAAUUUAUCACCUUAAAUUCUCUAUGAAGGCAAAGUGGAAAAGCAAUUUAACUCUGUGAUACCAGAGCAGAAGCUACUGCAGAAGGACCUUGGGAAAGCCUGAGGAGACACUUUUCCA
Dromaius novaehollandiae (emu) is the source of this 1690-nucleotide long non-coding RNA. RefSeq lists it as uncharacterized. The record is from RefSeq and is a predicted model, not a curated record. The transcript has 3 exons. NCBI's taxonomy places the organism in Eukaryota, Metazoa, Chordata, Aves, Casuariiformes, Dromaiidae.